UUGAUCAUGGCUCAGAUUGAACGCUGGCGGCAUGCCUUACACAUGCAAGUCGAACGGUAACAGGUCUUCGGAUGCUGACGAGUGGCGAACGGGUGAGUAAUACAUCGGAACGUGCCUAGUAGUGGGGGAUAACUACUCGAAAGAGUGGCUAAUACCGCAUGAGAUCUACGGAUGAAAGCAGGGGAUCGCAAGACCUUGUGCUACUAGAGCGGCCGAUGGCAGAUUAGGUAGUUGGUGGGAUAAAAGCUUACCAAGCCGACGAUCUGUAGCUGGUCUGAGAGGACGAUCAGCCACACUGGGACUGAGACACGGCCCAGACUCCUACGGGAGGCAGCAGUGGGGAAUUUUGGACAAUGGGCGCAAGCCUGAUCCAGCAAUGCCGCGUGCAGGAUGAAGGCCUUCGGGUUGUAAACUGCUUUUGUACGGAACGAAAAGCCCUGGGUUAAUACCCUGGGGUCAUGACGGUACCGUAAGAAUAAGCACCGGCUAACUACGUGCCAGCAGCCGCGGUAAUACGUAGGGUGCGAGCGUUAAUCGGAAUUACUGGGCGUAAAGCGUGCGCAGGCGGUUUUGUAAGACAGAGGUGAAAUCCCCGGGCUCAACCUGGGAACUGCCUUUGUGACUGCAAGGCUAGAGUACGGCAGAGG
RNAcentral lists this ribosomal RNA (647 nucleotides) under uncultured bacterium. RNAcentral's name for it is "bacterial SSU rRNA". It matches the Rfam family "Bacterial small subunit ribosomal RNA", at positions 13 to 657 of the family's 1533-position model. The record is from RNAcentral.